CAAGUCGAACGAGUACGGACUUCGGUCCAUAUGUACGAGUGGCGAACGGGUGAGUAACACGUGAGAAACCUGCCUCGGAGACCGGGACAACCAUUGGAAACGAUGGCUAAUACCGGAUGCCCUCUAACGGUCGCAUGGCCGAUUGAGGAAAUGAUCCGUCGCUCCGGGAGGGUCUCGCGGCCUAUCAGCUUGUUGGUGAGGUAACGGCUCACCAAGGCAUCGACGGGUAGCUGGUCUGAGAGGACGAUCAGCCACACUGGGACUGAGACACGGCCCAGACUCCUACGGGAGGCAGCAGUAGGGAAUCUUGCACAAUGGGCGAAAGCCUGAUGCAGCGACGCCGCGUGGGGGAUGAAGGCCUUCGGGUUGUAAACCCCUUUCAGUAGGGACGAAAAUGACGGUACCUACAGAAGAAGCUCCGGCCAACUACGUGCCAGCAGCCGCGGUAACACGUAGGGAGCAAGCGUUGUCCGGAUUUAUUGGGCGUAAAGAGCUCGUAGGUGGUUCAGUAAGUCGGAUGUGAAAACUCAAGGCUCAACCUUGAGACGCCAUCCGAUACUGCUGUGACUUGAGUUCGGUAGAGGAGUGUGGAAUUCCUGGUGUAGCGGUGAAAUGCGCAGAUAUCAGGAGGAACACCAACAGCGAAGGCAGCACUCUGGGCCGAUACUGACACUGAGGAGCGAAAGCAUGGGGAGCAAACAGGAUUAGAUACCCUGGUAGUCCAUGCCGUAAACGUUGGGCACUAGGUGUGGGGAUUUAUCAACGAUCUCCGCGCCGUCGCUAACGCAUUAAGUGCCCCGCCUGGGGAGUACGGCCGCAAGGCUAAAACUCAAAGGA
This 837-nucleotide ribosomal RNA is filed under the name uncultured bacterium. RNAcentral's name for it is "bacterial SSU rRNA". It matches the Rfam family "Bacterial small subunit ribosomal RNA", at positions 58 to 908 of the family's 1533-position model. The record is from RNAcentral.